UUGCAGACAGCUGUGGACUGUCCUCGCGAGAGUGGACACCAGACCCCCUGCAUCCCUUUUAUAGCCCCCGAGCUUCUGUGUGCAUUGCUGCCAAAGUCUCACACCUGUGACCUUCUUCAGAGCACUGUCCAUGAAGUACUGGAGCUGCAUCCCUGUGAAUUCAUAAACCCAGGGAAGCCCAACUGCCAAUGACUGCUUCAUGGGUACAUACGGCCAGUUCCCGUGUCUUGAGAAGCAGAAACUGAAGCCCAGAGAGGUGCAUCAGCUGUCUGAAAGAAACCAAGAAGCAACUGUCAUGUGGCAGAGCUGGGACUUGAAGCCAAUUCCCCACAGCCCCUCUACCAAGCUGCUGAGCUGCUGCAGGGCAGGAGGCGCCCCAGCCCUCUCCCCGAAGCACUGAACUGCUCCCUGUCCUGGAGGGAAAAGAAAUCUGGCUGCCUUGAGUCGAGGAACCGCACCACUCAUAUCUCACACUUCUCUCCCCACCUCUCCCUCGAACACCAGCUUCUGCUAAAACAAUCCUUUGCACAAGCUUGCCUCUCUGCCUUCCUGUCCCCCAUCACUCUGCACCUCAGGUGACAUUUCGGCAGUCCGAUCAGCCCUGCCCAGAUCUCUCCCCAGAGGAAAGAGGCUGUUUUUGGUGUCUGGCGGUGCCUGGCACAGGUGUGUAUCCUUUGAUGGAGUUGGCCUUGGGGACCUGAGGGCAGAUGUUCUAAAUGAACAGCACCCAACUGCUAGUGAUCAUCGUGGCCUUUUCCGCUCACAGCCCCCGCAGCCCUCAGGGAAAAGGAGUCUACGCUCUACUCACGCAGGAGGGGAGACUGGGAAGCCCAAGAUCUGAUGACAGAGGCAAAGGCGUGUCAGAGCCCAUGAACCUCAAGCCUCUUCAAGGGGGGUAUUCUUCAUCCUCACGCGCAACCUAACAGAAGCCGUGCAACAGAGGAUCAGAGCUCACAGACUGUGGAGUAUCACUACCCUCCAUGAAACUCACUUUCCCUGUCUGCAAAGCGGAACCAAACCUUACAGCUUGUCCUGAGAGACAAUGAAUACUGGUCGUGGUGGUAUUCUGUAGCCAUCAUCUGCUAACUGUGUGACCAAUCCUCUCUGUGCCUCAGUUUCUUCAUCUGCAACAUGGGUUGCACAGUAGAACUUUCCUCAGAGAUUUGUUGUGAAAUAAGUGAGUGAGGUCAGUAAGAAAUGUGGGUUUGGAGAAGGAUUAAAUAGGAGUGACCAAGCCUCCGGGUUUGCUCACAUCCGACCGGUGGGAGCUCUUGGGAAAAUCGCCAGCAAACCAAGACAAGCUGGUCACUCAAGGCUUCGAUGAGUGAGUGCAGUGGCUGGCGCCCAGUAAGAUUUGAUAAGCAUUAAGGAGCUCAACACGUGAUGCUCAAACCAAUGAGCUCAGAAUCUAGAAGCUCCCAGAUGGUUCUCACGUGCAGCCGAUGUUCAGAA
Molecule: long non-coding RNA, 1452 nt
Organism: Zalophus californianus (California sea lion)
Lineage: Eukaryota; Metazoa; Chordata; Mammalia; Carnivora; Otariidae
Exons: 3
Source: RefSeq, a predicted model, not a curated record